Rattus norvegicus (Norway rat) is the source of this 1386-nucleotide non-coding RNA. The record is from RefSeq and is a predicted model, not a curated record. Lineage: Eukaryota; Metazoa; Chordata; Mammalia; Rodentia; Muridae.
UUCCCGAGGUUGUCUCCUGACCUCUGUAUCUGUGUCGGGGGCUCUCAUUUUGAUAGUUCAGGUCACUUUGUGCACGCUCACUUGCUCAGUCCUGGGCACUUGCUUGUCAGGUACAGGGAAUUUAAAAGGCUAAAGCCGGUCCUGCUCUGCGGGGUUUAGUAGAACUGAUUACAGGGACGUGAGGUGGUGUACUAGUGAGUUGAGGGAAGAGCCUUGUGUCUUAAGGAAACACAAGCUUGCCUAGGAACAGGGUGCCAAAACCCAGCCGGGCCUCACAGCCUCCCAUGCUAACGCACUGCCAAACUUCUACGUUGGUGGCUGCUAGCCUGCCCUUUCCCAUUUUCCAUUCUUCUUUCUGGAUACUUACCCAGAAGUGACUUUAAAUAUUCUUUACUGAGUUUAAAUACUGUAUUUUUGUCUAAUUCUGAUGGGCUUGUUCUCCCCUUCGGUGAUGCAGAUGCAGGCCAGAUUAGACCAGAUUAAAAGCAGAUAUAGGCGGGUUUAUUUGGGGUUAGCUCCCUGGCGGGUUCACUGAAGUCAUGCAUCCAGGCUCUAAAGCAAGGGGAUUUUAUAGAGUUUAGGCGAGGAGUGAUGACGUGUCACUAGGCGCUGGGCGUGGUCGAAAAACUGACCUCCUGGGCGGAUACUCUUGAGUGGAUUGCCAGAAACACGGAGACUCUCCUCUCCACGACCCGGUGUCACGUGGUGUUUGGACACUCACUCCUUUCCAUGAACUUCUACUUUGCCAUCAUCGUUUACUUUACUUUUUGCUCGGCUUCUGUCCACUCUCCUCUGUAUAAGCACUGGUGCCAGGAAGCAGAGAUGGAUGGAGGGCUUGCUGGCCUGUCAGGUUAGCCAAAAUGUCAAACUCCAGGCUCAGUGAGAGACCCUGUCUCAAGAAAUAGGUGGAGAGGGACUGGAGAACUGGCUCAGCAGUUAAGAGCACCGACUGCUGCUCUUCCAGAGGUCCCAAGUUCAAAUCUCAGCAACCACAUGGUGGCUCACAACCGUCUGUAAUGGGAUCUGACGCCCUCUUCUGGUGUGUCUGAAGACAGCUACCGUGUACUCACAUACAUAGAAUGUAUACAGACUUAAAGUUGUAGGAUUGUCAUACAGGGGAAGGCAGGUACAAGAUAGAAGGAGGCCUGUCAUUGGAUCAGAAGGAAGGAUGGGCAGGGAAAAGUUUGAGGGAAGAGGAGGAUACCGGAACGGAAGGAGACGGGAGACUGGAGGAGGCUGCAGAAGAAGUCGUGGAGAAGACAUGGAGGCUGACUUUAAGAUUCCACUCUGUGUAUUUACAGGUUGUUAUGAAUAUUCUUAAGGGAUGGAUGUGUAUAGGGCCUUGUAUGUCUAGGUGGGCAAUUAUAUCUUAUCAGUUGGAUCAGA